RNAcentral lists this ribosomal RNA (400 nucleotides) under uncultured soil bacterium. RNAcentral describes it as "bacterial SSU rRNA". It matches the Rfam family "Bacterial small subunit ribosomal RNA", at positions 26 to 421 of the family's 1533-position model. The record is from RNAcentral.
AGAUUGAACGCUGGCGGCAUGCCUUACACAUGCAAGUCGAACGGCAGCAUGACGUGUAGCAAUACACGUUGAUGGCGAGUGGCGAACGGGUGAGUAAUAUAUCGGAACGUGUCCUGUAGCGGGGGAUAACCUAUCGAAAGAUGGACUAAUACCGCAUACGCUCUACGGAGGAAAGCGGGGGUCGCAAGACCUCGCACUAUAGGAGCGGCCGAUAUCGGAUUAGCUAGUUGGCGGGUAAAAGCCCACCAAGGCGACGAUCCGUAGCUGGUCUGAGAGGAUGAUCAGCCACACUGGAACUGAGACACGGUCCAGACUCCGUACGGGAGGCAGCAGUGGGGAAUUUGGACAAGUGGGCGCAAGCCUGAUCCAGCCAUGCCGCGAAUGGAGUGAAAGGUAAGGU